RNAcentral lists this long non-coding RNA (219 nucleotides) under Elaeis guineensis (African oil palm). RNAcentral's name for it is "long non-coding RNA (EGUI_LNC067908)". Lineage: Eukaryota; Viridiplantae; Streptophyta; Magnoliopsida; Arecales; Arecaceae. The record is from RNAcentral.
CUUCUCCUUAACUGCAGCUGCACGGCCCUUGGCCCAACGGCCAUCUACUCUAACAAACACCAUGCGCUGAAGGGAGUGGUUGUUGUAGGUGUCAGUGUAUGACAGUCUACAAAUAACCUCCCCCUCAAAACUCACUCUAGACUCCCUAAAAAUCACUAUGAGAGCCAUGCCAUAUGACAAGGGAACCUUGGAUCUAUUCAAGGCCUCCCUUAUGGCAUC